AACGAACGCUGGCGGCGUGCCUAACACAUGCAAGUCGCGCGAGAACGGGGGGCAACUCCCUAGUAAAGCGGCGCACGGGUGAGUAACACGUAGGUAACCUACCCUCGAGUCCAGGAUAACCUACCGAAAGGUGGGCUAAUACCGGAUAUGACCACGGGAGCUUCGGCUCCUGCGGUGAAAGGUGGCCUCUGCUUGCAAGCCACUGCUCGGAGAUGGGCCUGCGCGCCAUUAGCUAGUUGGUGGGGUAACGGCUCACCAAGGCGAUGAUGGCUAGCUGGUCUGAGAGGAUGGCCAGCCACACUGGGACUGAAACACGGCCCAGACUCCUACGGGAGGCAAGCAGUGGGGGAUAUUGCGCAAUGGGCGAAAGCCUGACGCAGCGACGCCGCGUGGGUGAUGAAGGCC
RNAcentral lists this ribosomal RNA (405 nucleotides) under uncultured bacterium. Its description in RNAcentral is "bacterial SSU rRNA". It matches the Rfam family "Bacterial small subunit ribosomal RNA", at positions 29 to 416 of the family's 1533-position model. The record is from RNAcentral.